Molecule: ribosomal RNA, 229 nt
Filed under: uncultured bacterium
Lineage: Bacteria
Description: partial 16S ribosomal RNA
Rfam family: Bacterial small subunit ribosomal RNA
Source: RNAcentral
UGCGUAGGCGGCCUGUUAAGUCAGUGGUGAAAGGUAUCAGCUUAACUGAUGAAGUGCCAUUGAAACUGGCAGGCUUGAGUACAGACGAGGUAGGCGGAAUUUAUGGUGUAGCGGUGAAAUGCAUAGAUACCAUAAAGAACACCGAUAGCGAAGGCAGCUUACUAGGCUGAGACUGACGCUAAUGCACGAAAGCGUGGGGAGCGAACAGGAUUAGAUACCCUGGUAGUCC